CAGUCGCCGCGGUAAAACGAAGGGUGCAAGCGUUAAUCGGAAUUACUGGGCGUAAAGCGUGCGUAGGCGGUUUGUUAAGUCUGCUGUGAAAUCCCCUGGCUCAACCUGGGAAUGGCAGUGGAUACUGGCAAGCUAGAGUGUGUCAGAGGAUGGUGGAAUUCCCGGUGUAGCGGUGAAAUGCGUAGAGAUCGGGAGGAACAUCAGUGGCGAAGGCGGCCAUCUGGGACAACACUGACGCUGAGGCACGAAAGCGUGGGGAGCAAACAGGAUUAGAUACCCCAGUAGUCCCUGUCUCUUAUAC
This 301-nucleotide ribosomal RNA is filed under the name uncultured bacterium. Its description in RNAcentral is "partial 16S ribosomal RNA". It matches the Rfam family "Bacterial small subunit ribosomal RNA", at positions 509 to 807 of the family's 1533-position model. The record is from RNAcentral.